RNAcentral lists this ribosomal RNA (460 nucleotides) under uncultured bacterium. Its description in RNAcentral is "partial 16S ribosomal RNA". It matches the Rfam family "Bacterial small subunit ribosomal RNA", at positions 338 to 795 of the family's 1533-position model. The record is from RNAcentral.
CCUACGUGAGGCAGCAGUGAGGAAUAUUGGUCAAUGGGCUUACGCCUGAACCAGCCAAGUCGCGUGAGGGAAGACUGCCCUAUGGGUUGUAAACCUCUUUUGUCAGGGAGCAACGCCGGCUACGUGUAGCCGGACUGAGAGUACCUGAAGAAAAAGCAUCGGCUAACUCCGUGCCAGCAGCCGCGGUAAUACGGAGGAUGCGAGCGUUAUCCGGAUUUAUUGGGUUUCAAGGGUGCGUAGGCGGAAUGCCAAGUCAGCGGUAAAAUCGCGGGGCUCAACCUCGCUCCGCCGUUGACACUGGCGUUCUUGAGUGGGCGAGAAGUAUGCGGAAUGCGUGGUGUAGCGGUGAAAUGCAUAGAUAUCACGCAGAACUCCGAUUGCGAAGGCAGCAUACCGGCGCCCAACUGACGCUGAAGCACGAAAGCGUGGGUAUCGAACAGGAUUAGAUACACUUGUAGUC